RNAcentral lists this ribosomal RNA (253 nucleotides) under uncultured bacterium. RNAcentral describes it as "partial 16S ribosomal RNA". It matches the Rfam family "Bacterial small subunit ribosomal RNA", at positions 524 to 776 of the family's 1533-position model. The record is from RNAcentral.
UACGUAGGGUGCGAGCGUUGUCCGGAAUUAUUGGGCGUAAAGAGCUCGUAGGCGGUUUGUCGCGUCGGCCGUGAAAUCUCCACGCUUAACGUGGAGCGUGCGGUCGAUACGGGCAGACUUGAGUUCGGUAGGGGAGACUGGAAUUCCUGGUGUAGCGGUGAAAUGCGCAGAUAUCAGGAGGAACACCGGUGGCGAAGGCGGGUCUCUGGGCCGAUACUGACGCUGAGGAGCGAAAGCUAGGGGAGCAAACAGG